RNAcentral lists this ribosomal RNA (497 nucleotides) under uncultured bacterium. RNAcentral's name for it is "partial 16S ribosomal RNA". It matches the Rfam family "Bacterial small subunit ribosomal RNA", at positions 28 to 507 of the family's 1533-position model. The record is from RNAcentral.
GAUGAACGCUGGCGGCGUGCCUAAUACAUGCAAGUCGAGCGAACAGAUAAGGAGCUUGCUCCUUUGACGUUAGCGGCGGACGGGUGAGUAACACGUGGGUAACCUACCUAUAAGACUGGAAUAACUCCGGGAAACCGGGGCUAAUGCCGGAUAAUAUUUACAGCCGCAGGGUGCUAAAGAUAAAGAUGGUUUUGCUAUCACUUAUAGAUGGACCCGUGCCGUAUUAGCUAGUUGGUAAGGUAACGGCUUACCAAGGCAACGAUCCGUAGCCGACCUGAGAGGGUGAUCGGCCACACUGGAACUGAGACACGGUCCAGACUCCUACGGGAGGCAGCAGUAGGGAAUCUUCCGCAAUGGGCGAAAGCCUGACGGAGCAACGCCGCGUGAGUGAUGAAGGUCUUCGGAUCGUAAAACUCUGCUAUUAGGGAAGAACAAAUGUGUAAGUAACUGUGCACGUCUUGACGGUACCUAAUCAGAAAGCCACGGCUAACUACGUG